GAUGAGCGCUGGCGGCGUGCCUAAUACAUGCAAGUCGAGCGAACAGACGAGGAGCUUGCUCCUCUGACGUUAGCGGCGGACGGGUGAGUAACACGUGGAUAACCUACCUAUAAGACUGGGAUAACUUCGGGAAACCGGAGCUAAUACCGGAUAAUAUAUUGAACCGCAUGGUUCAAUAGUGAAAGACGGUUUUGCUGUCACUUAUAGAUGGAUCCGCGCCGCAUUAGCUAGUUGGUAAGGUAACGGCUUACCAAGGCAACGAUGCGUAGCCGACCUGAGAGGGUGAGCGGCCACACUGGAACUGAGACACGGUCCAGACUCCUACGGGAGGCAGCAGUAGGGAAUCUUCCGCAAUGGGCGAAAGCCUGACGGAGCAACGCCGCGUGAGUGAUGAAGGUCUUCGGAUCGUAAAACUCUGUUAUUAGGGAAGAACAAAUGUGUAAGUAACUAUGCACGUCUUGACGGUACCUAAUCAGAAAGCCACGGAUAACUACGUG
Molecule: ribosomal RNA, 497 nt
Filed under: uncultured bacterium
Lineage: Bacteria
Description: partial 16S ribosomal RNA
Rfam family: Bacterial small subunit ribosomal RNA
Source: RNAcentral